Molecule: ribosomal RNA, 508 nt
Filed under: uncultured bacterium
Lineage: Bacteria
Description: partial 16S ribosomal RNA
Rfam family: Bacterial small subunit ribosomal RNA
Source: RNAcentral
AUUGAACGCUGGCGGAAUGCUUUACACAUGCAAGUCGAACGGCAGCGGGGGAGAAGCUUGCUUUUCCUGCCGGCGAGUGGCGAACGGGUGAGUAAUACACCGGAACGUGCCCUGUAGUGGGGGAUAACUAGUCGAAAGAUUAGCUAAUACCGCAUACGACCUGAGGGUGAAAGUGGGGGACCGCAAGGCCUCAUGCUAUAGGAGCGGCCGAUGUCUGAUUAGCUAGUUGGUGGGGUAAAGGCCUACCAAGGCGACGAUCAGUAGCUGGUCUGAGAGGACGAUCAGCCACACUGGGACUGAGACACGGCCCAGACUCCUACGGGAGGCAGCAGUGGGGAAUUUUGGACAAUGGGCGAAAGCCUGAUCCAGCAACGCCGCGUGUGUGAAGAAGGCCUUCGGGUUGUAAAGCACUUUUGUCCGGAAAGAAAUGGCUCUGGUUAAUACCUGGGGUCGAUGACGGUACCGGAAGAAUAAGGACCAGCUAACUACGUGCCAGCCGCCGCAGUAA